RNAcentral lists this ribosomal RNA (469 nucleotides) under Streptococcus mitis. Its description in RNAcentral is "bacterial SSU rRNA". It matches the Rfam family "Bacterial small subunit ribosomal RNA", at positions 39 to 494 of the family's 1533-position model. The record is from RNAcentral. Lineage: Bacteria; Bacillati; Bacillota; Bacilli; Lactobacillales; Streptococcaceae.
GCGGCGUGCCUAAUACAUGCAAGUAGAACGCUGAAGGAGGAGCUUGUUUCUCUGGAUGAGUUGCGAACGGGUGAGUAACGCGUAGGUAACCUGCCUGGUAGCGGGGGAUAACUAUUGGAAACGAUAGCUAAUACCGCAUAAAAGUAGAUGUUGCAUGACAUUUGCUUAAAAGGUGCAAUUGCAUCACUACCAGAUGGACCUGCGUUGUAUUAGCUAGUUGGUGGGGUAACGGCUCACCAAGGCGACGAUACAUAGCCGACCUGAGAGGGUGAUCGGCCACACUGGGACUGAGACACGGCCCAGACUCCUACGGGAGGCAGCAGUAGGGAAUCUUCGGCAAUGGACGGAAGUCUGACCGAGCAACGCCGCGUGAGUGAAGAAGGUUUUCGGAUCGUAAAGCUCUGUUGUAAGAGAAGAACGAGUGUGAGAGUGGAAAGUUCACACUGUGACGUAUCUACCAGAAAGGACG